CUUGGUCAUUUAGAGGAAGUAAAAGUCGUAACAAGGUUUUCGUAGGUGAACCUGCGGAAGGAUCAUUAGUGAACACUGGAUUCUGCCUCUGAAAAGAGAAAGUCUCCUUUCCACUACCACACACACUUGUGCAUCUGUUCUUUCUUACAAUUUACUUUGUAAAGGAUUUUUAACACUUGUGCUAAAUCUUAAUGUCGUUGAUGUAAAACAAUUUGAUAAAUGAAAGAAAAACUUUCAGCAAUGGAUCUCUUGGCUCUCGCAUCGAUGAAGAACGCAGCGAAACGCGAAAUGUAAUGUGAAUUGCAGAAUUCAGUGAAUCAUCGAAUCUUUGAACGCACCUUGCGCUCUCGGGUUAUUCCUGGGAGCAUGCUUGUUUGAGCUUUUAAAACCUCUCAACCCCGCCUUUGUUAAUCAAAGGUUGCUUGGGCUUGGAUCGUGACGCUUGUCGGUGUUACAACCGACUGCGUUGAAAUACAACAAGCUGAAUCAUCACACUUGCGGCUUGACCUAUUGUUGUAACUUAAAUUCAAUAGGAACGCAUUAAAGUUGAACGAGCUUACCAUAAAUGUGUCUCUGUACACAAAGUGAUUAUUAAACUCAAAUCAAGUAGGACUACCCGCUGAACUUAAGCAUAUCAAUAAGCGGAGGA
Molecule: ribosomal RNA, 649 nt
Filed under: uncultured fungus
Lineage: Eukaryota; Fungi
Description: eukaryotic LSU rRNA
Rfam family: 5.8S ribosomal RNA (bases 230-384)
Source: RNAcentral